ACAAAAAAACCCUGGAGCUCUCAGUAGAUCCCAACUGAAAACUUUACCAAACUGGGUUUUUCCCCCAGAGACCGGCGCGUGUGGACCGUUGGAGGUGGCUCAUUAAUGUAACGUGAAUAACCCUAACAACAAAAUCAUUCUCCUUUCUUUCCCCUCAGUCAGGUCACCGGUUAGUUAACACGGACACUGCAGUGUCUGGAAAGGGAACAGUGGCCCCAACGAUAUGGUUCUGAGAACCUAGGACCUGCUCACGGCCCUGUGCCCAGUGGGGGCCUCCUUCGUGGGUUCAGAUUCAUGGGUGGAUUUUUAUGUCUCCAACCGCAUGACAUAGCAGCCUGGAGAAAUUUCCUCUUGGUUAAAGCAAGAGACCCUGGUAACACCACCCCACCAGGGUCCCAAGGAUAACGCGGAAAACCUCCCCACCAGAAAUGGUUCGACAAGCUACGAACCAGGCAGUCCCCGGCUCCCAGUCCACCCAGCAUAAGGCGGGUGAGUGGGAAGGAGACGCCGGCACGAAAAACCCCCCUCUGGAGCAAAGACUGAGAAGCACAACCUCCCCUGGUCCAUCCACGCGCGCCAAUCCGAGCGGGAGGAACAGCCAGGACGCCACGGCGCCCCCGUCGGGGUCCUCGCCAGGUGCGUCUCUGCCGCCCCUGCCCCAUGUGGGCGUCAGAGGGCGUGUCGUCCUGGGGUCUCUGUGGCGGUGGCUCCAGGGAUUGCUCUGGGGCUGGACAGUCCCGGGCUCUUGCAGACCAGGCUGUGGUUUCUUUGGCAGAGUGUUUGUUCCAAAACGUGUGGACCUCGGAUCCAUCAGUUGCCCAUCAGCUCUAGCCAUCAAGGUAGUUUCUAACCCUGAAGUGCCUGGCUGUCUUCACUCACUGGCCUGCACGCGGCCCCCCCUGUCUCCUGGCGCGAUGUCCUGGCCACCCUGAGCCUCUGGGGGCCACGGGCUUUGCUGCGAACUUCACACGGCAGUGGGACGGGGCUCGGUUUUCUUUUCUGCUAAGUGUGCUGCUUUGUGGAAAACCAUCCCAGUUCUGGAUGCCGUGGGAGAGCCUAGCAGUUGCUUUUUCAACCCUGCAAGGCUCCAAAUUACCAGGCUCUCGGUCACUUUCGGUGGCAGGCUGCCGGCAGGGAGCAUCUCCAUCAUCACAGGGCGUCCCCUCUUCCCACGCCUUCGCCGGCUGCUCUCUCGUAAAGCUUUGCUAACGGCAGCAAGCAGCAGCUACCACGCUUCUGCGUCAUGGCUCUCUCCUGUCAUUCCCUCCCUCGAUCCGAGCUCAGAACACGGGCCACUUUUCAAAAAACAGUAGGGGACAGCUGUUAGCAACUGCUUCAUUUCUCACGCUGUCACCAGGCCUCUGGCCCACAGUGUUUGAGUCCCUGACACCUGCCAACAUCCACGGAGUCAGUGCCACAUGUCUCUGUUCUGCUACUCACAGCUCACCUCUCUCGGUCCUUUUUUUUCUAUCAGUUAAGAUUAGAUUUGCCUGGAAAAUCCAAAGGAGCAGUGGCUUCAACGGGACUUUUAAAUCUCCCGCAUUCUGAGUCCACAGUAAGGUGGUCCAUGGACAGUCCAGUGGGACUCCAUGGCGGCAGGAACCUACCCGUCUUCUGUCUUGCUGGCGUGCUAUAUAUCAGCGCUAAUGGUGAUGCCCAGGAUGGCUGCCUCAGCGCCAGCCAUCAAAUCCUCAUUCCAACCCAGUAGAAGAAGAAGCGCGGGAACAGACAGACACCUCUGCCCUCAUCAGGGACACUUCCAGGAAGUUGCCUUCUGUUGGCCAGAACUUAGUCGCGUGGUCAUACCUGGCUCAAGGGAGGAUGGAAGGGUCACUUCCAUUGUGGGUGGCAGAAAAGUCAAGUUUCUGUUGAGGAAUGAGAGGUGAUGGAUUGGGGGGCAAUUAGGCUCUGCUUAUGUGGAAAAGUUCAGUAUCAGUGUCUCUCAUAUUCUAGCUCUAGAAUUCGCUAGCCUCCUCCUUCUUCAGGACAGAUUUAUGCCUCUGACAUGCACCUUGCAGAAGAGAUAAUGACCGGACAAGGUGCGCAGUCUUCUGCCCACGCAUCAUUCUUGAGGAUGCUUUUGCUACACCUACUUCACGGGGACAUAAAGUGAGGGUCUCCGGGCUACUGUUUCUGUUGGGGAGGUUUUAACAGCUAGGACGGCUUCGGUGCUCAGUGAAUCACAGAAGUGACCAAAACAAACACCUCCGAUGAGAAGCACCCAUAAAACCAACGAGACUAUUAAUGCAAAUGGAAAACCAAAAUUGAUGAAAUGCAAAAUAUUUAACUUCCCAGACUGCAGCUAGCCUUGGACUACUAAGUCAUUUAGAGGCUAAUGUUCUUAAUAAAAUCACAUUUUCCCUGAAAAUA
This is a long non-coding RNA of Herpailurus yagouaroundi (jaguarundi), 2370 nucleotides long. RefSeq lists it as uncharacterized. The transcript is spliced from 2 exons. The record is from RefSeq and is a predicted model, not a curated record. NCBI's taxonomy places the organism in Eukaryota, Metazoa, Chordata, Mammalia, Carnivora, Felidae.